This 23-nucleotide microRNA is filed under the name Oreochromis niloticus (Nile tilapia). RNAcentral's name for it is "oni-miR-10700". The record is from miRBase by way of RNAcentral. Lineage: Eukaryota; Metazoa; Chordata; Actinopteri; Cichliformes; Cichlidae.
UUCGUUAGUGCAGAAGACAGACU